ACUGACUGGCUCAGCGUGUGCCUAGCCUACGCCAGCAGGCGCGGGUAACCCAUUGAACCCCAUUCGUGAUGGGGAUCGGGGAUUGCAAUUAUUCCCCAUGAAA
This 103-nucleotide non-coding RNA is filed under the name Myotis lucifugus (little brown bat). The record is from Rfam by way of RNAcentral. Lineage: Eukaryota; Metazoa; Chordata; Mammalia; Chiroptera; Vespertilionidae.